UUACGCUGUCUCACAUCAUGAAACUAGCUGUCAUCACAAAGAAAUAAAACAUAAGCAAUGGCAAAUAAGUAAAAAUGACGGACAAUUUGGCUAUUUUUGUGGAAAUCAUUGACUUAGCCAAGCGAGCACGGCCAUCCAAGGAUGCCCGUAGGAUUCUGCAGGGACACCACCCAUUCUCGGUCGGUUGGAGCCGUUCCUCGCGACUUCGACAGUCCCAUCUACCGCACAGGGACAACUUACUCGCACAUUUAGGAUUUAACAGACGUUUCAUAAUCACGCUAAGAAUUCGUUCCCCAAUGGAAAAGGCUACAGGCGCCGCGGAAAGAUAUGCUCUACCAGUCAUGUAUUGAUAGAGCUGGCAUGGAAACACGGCAAACUAAAAGGGACACACGGGAUGCGCGCGGGUCGGGUCACCUAUUCCUGAGGAGUUCCAAGGAAAAAGAAGGGACAGGCCAAACGGCCAACGACGAGGACAACUAAGGCUCUCGGGUCUAAUUCCGGAUUAAUUAACAGGUCAAAUAAAAAGAAGGAUAAAGCAAUGGAUGUACACAUGUAAUCAACAAUCUGAACUUCAGACACUUCUGGGCUGG
Molecule: long non-coding RNA, 590 nt
Organism: Drosophila subpulchrella
Lineage: Eukaryota; Metazoa; Arthropoda; Insecta; Diptera; Drosophilidae
Exons: 3
Source: RefSeq, a predicted model, not a curated record